GCACAUGAGGAAAUUUUGCUUUGUUACUGUCUCUAACAUCUUCUUUCCCUAGCGCCUCUCUCCCUUGCAAGAAGUCAGAGCCUCCAUGCUGCUGUGGGAUCCAUCAGGGAUCCCGUUACAGAGACCACCAUCAUCAAUUUCACAUGCUUACAAUCCCCCACAAACUCUCUACCGUUGACCUAUUUUAGAUCUUUUUCUUUCAAGUCCCUACUUUAAGUUAAUUAGGGUGAAUCUACUCCAAUAUGACUGACGUCCUUAUAAGAAGAAUAGAAGAGAGGUAGACAGAUAAAGUGAGAAUAUCAUGUGAUAGUAGCAGAGACUGGAGUGAUGCAGUUGCAAGCUAAGAAACACCCGGGACUGAAUGACACCACUAGAAGCCAGGAAAAGGCAGGUAAUACAUAUAGAGAUAUCUAUAGAAACAUGUAUAUACACGGACUAGUACACAGACAUAUUUCUGUGCUCUUUCAGCUGAGAUUGCCUAAAAGACCUGACACCCCAGCAGCAACAAGCACACCUCACAUCCAGAUCUUGGUUUUGGUUACCAUUCUCUAAUAAAAGGAAACAGAGCUCCUUGGAGAAAUGGUGAUUUAUGCUAGGAUUGGGUCAGGAAAUACACAAGAUCAGUCUGAAAGGGAUUGUAGAGCCAUAAAGGAAGAAAAUCCUUUUUUAAAAAGCACCCCACAUUGAUGGGGAGUACGUGAAAAGAAAAUAGGAGCCAACUGAAAAGAACUCCCACAGGCCAAAGAUGGAAUAAUUUGAGUAACAAAAUAAAAUAGUAUUGACUUAUAACCCAGAGUAUAAAAUAAAUGUCAAUAGAUUCAUACUGAUAUGAAUAAACAAUUGAAUAAAUAAAUAAAUGAAAGAGAAGAGCCAGAUCUCCUAUGCAGAAGAAUUUCGAAUAAUUUAUGUAAAUUUUUCCCUCCAGGAGAGAGAUCAUAACUCCAAACUUCUUAAGUGUGGGUUACACACAGUGACUUCCUUUUCUAAGAGUACAGUAUGGAGAAGAAUAAAAGACAUAACUUUAUAGUUAUCAGGGAAACCUGAUAACACCACCUCCCAGGUGAGUAAGGUCAAUAUCAGCAGUCACAUAUCAUGUUGAUUGUAUAAAUCAUUGAUAAUAUUAUAGAUAUGAUGUAAUGAGGAUAACCCUUUGCCUUUGUGGUCUUCAUUCCAAUAGCCCAUAACUCCAGUUUCACCAUGAGGAAAACACAAAACUAACUCCAAUAUUGGGAGAAUCUAUAAAAUACCUGGCCAGAACUCAAAACCUUCAAGGUCAUCAAAAACAAGGAAAGCCUGAGGAACUGUCACAGCCAAGAGGAACCUCAAAAUACAAGACAGCAAAAUGUACUGUGAUAUCUUGGAUGGGAUACUAGAACAGGGAAAGCAUGUCAGGUAAUAUCUAAGGAAAUGUACAUAAACUACUUAGGUGAACAGUUUUUCCCCAACCCCUUCUGUGAGAUUAUCUCAUACAUUUGUAAUGCAGUUAGAUUGUUGAGUCAGAGUCUGAAUUACUUCCUGGGAUUUCCUUGAUUUCCUAAAUGAUUUUAUAAAUUUGCAUGCAAUUAGAUUGACUCUUUGUACUGUAAAAUUCUGUACAUUUUGACAAAUGCACCAUUAAAGUAUUAUGCAGAAUAAUUACUAUUCUAAAAGUCCCCUGUGCCUCUUCUCUACACCCUUGAUUCUCUGGCAGCCACUGAUCAUUCCAUGUCUCUAUAAUUUUGUCUUUUACAGGAUGCUAUAAAAUUGGAAUCAUACAAUAUGUAGCCUUUCUGGACGAGCUUCU
This 1783-nucleotide long non-coding RNA is filed under the name Homo sapiens (human). RNAcentral's name for it is "non-protein coding lnc-ZBTB41-3:1". The record is from RNAcentral. Lineage: Eukaryota; Metazoa; Chordata; Mammalia; Primates; Hominidae.